AGCGGGAAAAGCUCAAAUUUAAAAUCUGGCGUCCUCCGGGCGUCCGAGUUGUAAUCUGGAGAAGCGUUUUCCGCGUCGGACCGUGUACAAGUCUUCUGGAACGGAGCGUCAUAGAGGGUGAGAAUCCCGUCUCUGACACGGACUACCGAUGCUUUUGUGAUGCGCUCUCGAAGAGUCGAGUUGUUUGGGAAUGCAGCUCAAAAUGGGUGGUAAAUUCCAUCUAAAGCUAAAUAUUGGCCAGAGACCGAUAGCGAACAAGUACCGUGAGGGAAAGAUGAAAAGCACUUUGGAAAGAGAGUUAAACAGUACGUGAAAUUGUUGAAAGGGAAACGCUUGAAGUCAGUCGCGUUGGCCGAGACUCAGCCUGGCUUGCCUGGUGUACUUCUCGGUUGACGGGUCAGCAUCAGUUUUGACCGCCGGAUAAAGGUUGGAGGAAUGUGGCAUCCCUCGGGAUGUGUUAUAGCCUCUGAUUCGCAUACGGCGAUUGGGACUGAGGAACUCAGCACGCCUUUAUGGUCGGGGUUCGCCCACGUAACGUGCUUAGGAUGCUGGCAUAAUGGCUUUAAGCGACCCGUCUUGAAACACGGACCAAGGAGUCUAACAUGCCCGCGAGUGUUUGGGUGUUAAACCCGAGCGCGUAAUGAAAGUGAAAAUUGAGAUCCUGUCGUG
This 669-nucleotide ribosomal RNA is filed under the name Athelia sp. RNAcentral describes it as "partial large subunit ribosomal RNA". It matches the Rfam family "Eukaryotic large subunit ribosomal RNA", at positions 97 to 750 of the family's 3401-position model. The record is from RNAcentral. Lineage: Eukaryota; Fungi; Basidiomycota; Agaricomycetes; Atheliales; Atheliaceae.